CCUACGGGUGGCAGCAGUGAGGAAUAUUGGUCAAUGGACGAGAGUCUGAACCAGCCAAGUAGCGUGAAGGAUGACUGCCCUAUGGGUUGUAAACUUCUUUUAUAUGGGAAUAAAAUGUUCCACGUGUGGGAUUUUGUAUGUACCAUAUGAAUAAGGAUCGGCUAACUCCGUGCCAGCAGCCGCGGUAAUACGGAGGAUCCGAGCGUUAUCCGGAUUUAUUGGGUUUAAAGGGAGCGUAGGUGGAUUGUUAAGUCAGUUGUGAAAGUUUGCGGCUCAACCGUAAAAUUGCAGUUGAAACUGGCAGUCUUGAGUACAGUAGCGGUGGGCGGAAUUCGUGGUGUAGCGGUGAAAUGCUUAGAGAUCACGAAGAACACCGAUUGCGAAGGCAGCUCACUGGACUGCAACUGACACUGAGGCUCGAAAGUGUGGGUAGCAAACAGGAUUAGAUACCCCAGUAGUC
This 460-nucleotide ribosomal RNA is filed under the name uncultured bacterium. RNAcentral's name for it is "partial 16S ribosomal RNA". It matches the Rfam family "Bacterial small subunit ribosomal RNA", at positions 338 to 795 of the family's 1533-position model. The record is from RNAcentral.